AUAAACAAUGAUGAGUAAUUUUUUUACAGUUACAGACCUGUAAUGAUUUGUGAAAAUGAUCGCAAAAAAUUUGAACAUCUAAGGGACUGAGUUUAU
This 96-nucleotide small nucleolar RNA is filed under the name Solanum lycopersicum (tomato). RNAcentral's name for it is "Small nucleolar RNA SNORD25". It matches the Rfam family "Small nucleolar RNA SNORD25". From Rfam's summary of the family: U25 is a member of the C/D class of snoRNA which contain the C (UGAUGA) and D (CUGA) box motifs. U25 is found in gene clusters in plants, and within the U22 snoRNA host gene (UHG) in mammals. Lineage: Eukaryota; Viridiplantae; Streptophyta; Magnoliopsida; Solanales; Solanaceae. The record is from Rfam by way of RNAcentral.